Long non-coding RNA from Vicia villosa (hairy vetch), 486 nucleotides. RefSeq lists it as uncharacterized. NCBI's taxonomy places the organism in Eukaryota, Viridiplantae, Streptophyta, Magnoliopsida, Fabales, Fabaceae. The transcript is spliced from 3 exons. The record is from RefSeq and is a predicted model, not a curated record.
CCAAAUUCCUCUCAACCGCUUGUGAUUCUCUCUUUGGCACCGAAUCUUCUUUCUUUGGCUUCAAGGUGGAAUUCGUGUAGGGUGGCCUCGAGGUCCUUACCCAAGUAAUUGAGUCACAAUUCCGUAGGGCAUGGACUAGUUGGGGGAGAUACCAUCAAAGACAGUGGAUCGAAUGUUCAAAAUAUUUGCGAUUCAUUGUAGAGGAAGAUGCUCGAGCUGCACGUGAGGAAUGUUGCAAGGAAAAUAAACGCACACAAGAUUUGGAGAGACAAUUGAGAGAAUUAGCUGAUAGUAUUGCUUCCAUCAAAGGUGACUAACGUCGUCGUCAUCCGGACUAUGAAGAGUAUGACUCCGAUAAUGAUGAUGACUCGGAUAGUGACGAUGAUGCUAUGGGCAGCACAUAAGAUUAUAUUAUGCUUUACUUUUACUUAUGAGGUUACUUUGACAAUCACAUUAUAUUUUGCUUGAACUUGUUUUAUGUUUUGU